Molecule: long non-coding RNA, 470 nt
Filed under: Bos taurus (domestic cattle)
Lineage: Eukaryota; Metazoa; Chordata; Mammalia; Artiodactyla; Bovidae
Description: long non-coding RNA NONBTAT015670
Source: RNAcentral
GGUCAAAUCUCAAAGUUAUUAUUUAAAAAAAGACAGAAGUAUAACAUUUCUGUAAGAUGAGACCACACCAGAAAUACAUGCAUACAAAAUAGCUCUAAUUACAACCAUUUUAAAACUAGCUAAAUAUUAAUAAGAAAAUUAUAUAUGACACGAAAGAACCACAGUGAAUGGAAUUAGAAAAAUUCGUUAAGAGUUUUACUUUACUCAAAGUAACACUUAGAAGUAAAAGGGGAAAAGAUUAAGACUAAAUUAGAAGAAACACAAGACCAAAUAAAUGCAAUUUUAAAAUGCCUUUGGGAAAACAGGAGGAAAAUUUUUCAAGAAAUCACAGAAGACAGUAAAAUGAUUUGAAUGAAAAUGACAAUAUGGCAGAUAAGUGAACAAAAUAUUAAAAAAUCAAGAAAAUACACAUUAAAAAAUUAAGGUAUACAUGUCCUGGUAUAAAAUCAAGAAAAUCUGUAAACACUUCC